RNAcentral lists this ribosomal RNA (292 nucleotides) under uncultured bacterium. RNAcentral describes it as "partial 16S ribosomal RNA". It matches the Rfam family "Bacterial small subunit ribosomal RNA", at positions 505 to 796 of the family's 1533-position model. The record is from RNAcentral.
GUGCCAGCAGCCGCGGUAAUACAGAGGGUGCGAGCGUUGUCCGGAAUCACUGGGCGUAAAGGGCGCGUAGGCGGUGGCGUAAGCGUGCGGUGAAAGCUCGGGGCUCAACCCCGAGUCGGCCGUGCGAACUGGGCCACUGGAGCAGAUCAGAGGCAGGCGGAAUUCCGGGUGUAGCGGUGGAAUGCGUAGAGAUCCGGAAGAACACCGGUGGCGAAGGCGGCCUGCUGGGAUCUUGCUGACGCUGAGGCGCGACAGCGUGGGGAGCAAACAGGAUUAGAUACCCCGGUAGUCC